AUACGGAGGGAGCAAGCGUUAUUCGGAAUCACUGGGCGUAAAGGACGCGUAGGCGGGUUUGUAAGUCAGGUGUGAAAUCCUACAGCUCAACUGUAGAACUGCACUUGAAACUACAGACCUAGAGUAUGGAAGGGGCAGAUGGAAUUAGUGGUGUAGGGGUAAAAUCCGUGGAUAUCACUAGGAAUACCGAAAGCGAAGGCGAUCUGCUGGGACAUUACUGACGCUGAGGCGUGAAAGCGUGGGGAGCAAACAGGAUUAGAAACCCCAGUAGUCC
This 274-nucleotide ribosomal RNA is filed under the name uncultured bacterium. RNAcentral's name for it is "partial 16S ribosomal RNA". It matches the Rfam family "Bacterial small subunit ribosomal RNA", at positions 523 to 796 of the family's 1533-position model. The record is from RNAcentral.